GCCGCGUGUUCGGGGGCUGAGGUCGUCGCGGGGCCGGUCACGAACCGGCCGUACCCGCGCGGCCAGUUGGAAACCGGCCCCGCGACACC
RNAcentral lists this transfer RNA (89 nucleotides) under Urbifossiella limnaea. RNAcentral describes it as "Planctomycetes bacterium ETA_A1 tRNA-Arg". The record is from RNAcentral. Lineage: Bacteria; Pseudomonadati; Planctomycetota; Planctomycetia; Gemmatales; Gemmataceae.